AUGCCCUACAUACCAGCUGACGUCACAAACCUACAGGCAAAGUACCGUAGAGAGAGCAAGUUGGCUGACAUAGAGGCAACAAUGGCGUACUUCGAUGAGAAAGCGAAGGAAGAUCCAGAUUUCUUCUACAGGAUAAGGUUGGACGAUGAGGACCGUGUCAGGAACAUGUAUUGGGUGGAUGGUGCUGCAAGGAGAGCCUACAAACAUUUUCGAGAUUGCAUUUCAUUCGACGCGACGUAUCUCACUAAUAUGUACAAGAUGCCAUGCGCUCCAUUCAUAGGAAUAAAUAACCACAAUCAGUCGUUGCAGUUCGGCUGCGGGCUCGUUCGGAACAAAGACACGGAUGGGUACGUUUGGCUGUUCAAGACCUUCUUGGAGUGCAUGGAUGGACUUACUCCGAUGAACAUAAUAACAGACCAGGAUUUUAGCAUGCGUGCAGGCAUAGAGGAGGUCUUUCUGUUGGCAGUGCACAGGCACUGCAGGUGGCACAUUAUAAAGAAGGCUGAGGAGACGCUAGGACCGUUCUUUGCUGACCGUCUAGAGCUGCACAAGGCAUUCUAGCUGUGCGUGGACCACAGCUUGGCGGUGGAGGAGUUUGAAAGGAGCUGGAUGGCCAUGAUUGAAACAUAUCAAGUCCAAGACAAUGAGACUCUUGCUAGCCUGUGGGAGAAGCGAAUGUACUAGGUGUCGGCCUACUUCAUGCACUGCUUCUUCCCCUUUCUGCAGACUACACAGCACAACGAGGGGUUCAAUGCUGUUUUGAAGCGGUACGUGAGCCCUGACAACUCAUUGCUAUAG
Molecule: ribosomal RNA, 798 nt
Filed under: Triticum aestivum (bread wheat)
Lineage: Eukaryota; Viridiplantae; Streptophyta; Magnoliopsida; Poales; Poaceae
Description: partial small subunit ribosomal RNA
Source: RNAcentral